GAACGCUGGCGGCGUGCCUAAUACAUGCAAGUCGAACGGCUUUUCUAUGGAAGCUUGCUUCCACUGAGAAGAUAGUGGCGAACGGGUGAGUAACACGUGGGUAACCUGCCCAUAAGAGGGGGAGUAACAUCCGGAAACGGGUGCUAAUACCGCAUAGUUUUCUUGAUCGCAUGAUCGGGAAAGGAAAGACGGCCUUUGUGCUGUCGCUUAUGGAUGGACCCGCGGCGUAUUAGUUAGUUGGUGAGGUAACGGCUCACCAAGACGAUGAUACGUAGCCGACCUGAGAGGGUGAUCGGCCACAUUGGGACUGAGACACGGCCCAAACUCCUACGGGAGGCAGCAGUAGGGAAUCUUCCGCAAUGGACGAAAGUCUGACGGAGCAACGCCGCGUGAGUGAAAGAAGGUUUUCGGAUCGUAAAACUCUGUUGUCAGAGAAGAACAAGUUGGAGAGUAACUGCUCCAGCCUUGACGGUAUCUGACCAGAAAGCCACGGCUAACUACGUGCCAGCCGCCGC
Molecule: ribosomal RNA, 515 nt
Filed under: uncultured bacterium
Lineage: Bacteria
Description: bacterial SSU rRNA
Rfam family: Bacterial small subunit ribosomal RNA
Source: RNAcentral